RNAcentral lists this transfer RNA (77 nucleotides) under Methanobrevibacter sp. Its description in RNAcentral is "tRNA-Met". It matches the Rfam family "tRNA". From Rfam's summary of the family: Transfer RNA (tRNA) molecules are approximately 80 nucleotides in length. The record is from RNAcentral. Lineage: Archaea; Methanobacteriati; Methanobacteriota; Methanobacteria; Methanobacteriales; Methanobacteriaceae.
UGCAGGUAGGACAAACGGCUAAGUCGCAGGCCUCAUAAGCCUUGAGGAGUGGGUUCAACUCCCACACUUUGCAACCA